AUCCGGAAUCGCCGAAGUCCGGAUUAAUGACUUUUGACUGUAUAAGAGAAAGAGAAAAGUUUGAUGAAACAUGUUCAACACGCCAAUUUUUACUUUAAAUCACUAACAGUAAAUGCAGUAAGAUGCCUCAGCAAAAAAGCGCUUGGCACCGACGUUUAUUACCAUACAUGUCAA
RNAcentral lists this unclassified non-coding RNA (174 nucleotides) under Stegodyphus dumicola. RNAcentral's name for it is "transmembrane protein 186-like, transcript variant X2". Lineage: Eukaryota; Metazoa; Arthropoda; Arachnida; Araneae; Eresidae. The record is from RNAcentral.